CACUUUAUAUUAAGGAGUGAUUAGUAAAUAAUUAAAACUAUAAGAUUUKUCCCCUAUGGUGAAAUAUUGUGACUAUGGAAACCMAAAAUAGAUUGAUAUUGGUAAAUAUUGGCCAUAAACAUGGAUUAGAUACCCAUUUAUACAAUACCCGUUAAUUAUUUACGGAGCACUACAAUCUCGCUAGAUUAAAACUUAAAAAACAUGGCGGUAACUUUAACUUAGGGGAACUUACCUAUUAAUUGAUAACCACCAAGGUUAAACAACCUUUAAAAAUUUUUGUAUGCCGUCGUCUUCAGAUAACACUUGAAGUAUUAUCAUAAUAUUUAAUAAUUAAAAGACAGAUCAAGGUGCAGACAAUUUAAGGGAAAAGGCGAGUUACAGUUUUGAUUAUUAACGAACAUUAGCAAUAAUUUGCUACUUAGAAGGUGGACUUAAUAGUAAAAAAUAUAAUAAUUAAUUUUUGAACUACCUGA
This 473-nucleotide ribosomal RNA is filed under the name Melostrachia glomerans. Its description in RNAcentral is "partial 12S ribosomal RNA". The record is from RNAcentral. Lineage: Eukaryota; Metazoa; Mollusca; Gastropoda; Stylommatophora; Camaenidae.